ACGGGGUGCAGCAGGCGCGAAAACUCCACAAUGUACGGAAGUACGAUGGGGUUAUCUCGAGUGCAGUCCGAUAAGGGCUGCUUUUCCAUAGAGUAAUAUCCUGUGGGAAUAAGAGGGGGGCAAGACUGGUGUCAGCCGCCGCGGUAACACCAGCCCCUCGAGUGGUGGGGACUAUUAUUUGGCCUAAAGCGUCCGUAGCUGGCUGUAUCCGUCUCCCGGUAAAUCCGGCGUCCUAAGCGUCGGUUCUCGGGUGAUACCAUACAGCUAGAGGGUGGGAUAGGUGAGCGGUAUUUCUGGGGUAGGGGCGAAAUCCUUUGAUCCCAGGAGGACCACCAGUGGCGAAGGCUGCUGACUAGAACACGCCUGACGGUCAGGGACGAAAGCUGGGGCAGCGAACCGGAUUAGAUACCCGGGUAGUCCCAGCUGUAAACGAUGCAGGCUAGGUGUUGGGUCGGCCACGCGCCGCCCCAGUGCCGCAGGGAAGCCGUUAAGCUAGCCGCCUGGGGAGUACGGCCGCAAGGCUGAAACUUAAAGGAAUUGGCGGGGGAGCAC
Molecule: ribosomal RNA, 552 nt
Filed under: uncultured crenarchaeote
Lineage: Archaea; Thermoproteati; Thermoproteota
Description: bacterial SSU rRNA
Rfam family: Archaeal small subunit ribosomal RNA
Source: RNAcentral